Molecule: ribosomal RNA, 459 nt
Filed under: uncultured Allobrachymonas sp.
Lineage: Bacteria; Pseudomonadati; Pseudomonadota; Betaproteobacteria; Burkholderiales; Comamonadaceae
Description: bacterial SSU rRNA
Rfam family: Bacterial small subunit ribosomal RNA
Source: RNAcentral
ACCCCGCACAAGCGGUGGAUGAUGUGGAUUAAUUCGAUGCAACGCGAAGAACCUUACUACCCUUGACAUGUCCGGAACUUGCCAGAGAUGGCUUGGUGCCCGAAAGGGAACCGGAACACAGGUGCUGCAUGGCUGUCGUCAGCUCGUGUCGUGAGAUGUUGGGUUAAGUCCCGCAACGAGCGCAACCCUUAUCAUUAGUUGCUACGCAAGGGCACUCUAAUGAGACUGCCGGUGACAAACCGGAGGAAGGUGGGGAUGACGUCAAAUCAGCACGGCCCUUAUGUCCAGGGCUACACACGUGUUACAAUGGUCGGUACAGAGGGCAGCUACCUGGUGACAGGAUGCUAAUCUCGAAAACCGGUCUCAGUUCGGAUCGAAGUCUGCAACUCGACUUCGUGAAGCUGGAUUCGCUAGUAAUCGCGCAUCAGCUAUGGCGCGGUGAAUACGUUCCCGGGCCUU